Molecule: ribosomal RNA, 254 nt
Filed under: uncultured bacterium
Lineage: Bacteria
Description: partial 16S ribosomal RNA
Rfam family: Bacterial small subunit ribosomal RNA
Source: RNAcentral
UACGUAGGGCGCAAGCGUUGUCCGGAAUUAUUGGGCGUAAAGAGCUCGUAGGCGGUGUGUCACGUCGUUCGUGAAAACCUGCAGCUUAACUGUGGGCGUGCGGUCGAUACGGGCAUCACUGGAAUUCGGCAGGGGAGACUGGAAUUCCUGGUGUAGCGGUGAAGUGCGCAGAUAUCAGGAGGAACACCGGUGGCGAAGGCGGCCUUCUGGACAGUGACUGACGCUGAGACGCGAAAGCGUGGGGAGCAAACAGG